RNAcentral lists this ribosomal RNA (221 nucleotides) under uncultured bacterium. Its description in RNAcentral is "partial 16S ribosomal RNA". It matches the Rfam family "Bacterial small subunit ribosomal RNA", at positions 524 to 743 of the family's 1533-position model. The record is from RNAcentral.
UACGUAGGGUGCAAGCGUUGUCCGGAAUUAUUGGGCGUAAAGAGCUCGUAGGUGGUUUGUCGCGUUGUUCGUGAAAACUCACAGCUCAACUGUGGGCGUGCGGGCGAUACGGGCAGACUAGAGUACUGCAGGGGGAGACUGGAAUUCCUGGUGUAGCGGUGGAAUGCGCAGAUAUCAGGAGGAACACCGGUGGCGAAGGCGGGUCUCUGGGCAGUAACUGA